UACAGAGGUGGCAAGCGUUGUUCGGAAUUACUGGGCGUAAAGGGCGCGUAGGCGGCCAUCUAAGUCAGACGUGAAAUCCCCCGGCUCAACCUGGGAACUGCGUCUGAUACUGGACGGCUUGAGUUUGGGAGAGGGAUGUAGAAUUCCAGGUGUAGCGGUGAAAUGCGUAGAUAUCUGGAGGAAUACCGGUGGCGAAGGCGGCAUCCUGGACCAAUACUGACGCUGAGGCUCGAAAGCGUGGGGAUCAAACAGG
RNAcentral lists this ribosomal RNA (253 nucleotides) under uncultured bacterium. RNAcentral's name for it is "partial 16S ribosomal RNA". It matches the Rfam family "Bacterial small subunit ribosomal RNA", at positions 524 to 776 of the family's 1533-position model. The record is from RNAcentral.